Molecule: ribosomal RNA, 253 nt
Filed under: uncultured bacterium
Lineage: Bacteria
Description: partial 16S ribosomal RNA
Rfam family: Bacterial small subunit ribosomal RNA
Source: RNAcentral
UACGGGGGGGGCAAGCGUUGUUCGGAAUUACUGGGCGUAAAGGGCUCGUAGGCGGCCAACUAAGUCAGACGUGAAAUCCCUCGGCUUAACCGGGGAACUGCGUCUGAUACUGGAUGGCUAGAGGUUGGGAGAGGGAUGCGGAAUUCCAGGUGUAGCGGUGAAAUGCGUAGAUAUCUGGAGGAACACCGGUGGCGAAGGCGACAUCCUGGACCGGUAUUGACGCUGAACAGCGAAAGCUAGGGGAGCAAACGGG